GACGAACGCUGGCGGCGUGCUUAACACAUGCAAGUCGAACGGUGAAGCGCCUUCCUUUUUGGUGGGUGUGGAUGAGUGGCGAACGGGUGAGUAACACGUGAGUAACCUGCCCCCUUCUUCUGGAUAACCGCAUGAAAGUGUGGCUAAUACGGGAUAUUCUGGGUCUGUCGCAUGAUGGGUCUGGGAAAGAUAUUGUUUCGGUGGGGGAUGGGCUCGCGGCCUAUCAGCUUGUUGGUGGGGUGAUGGCCUACCAAGGCGGUGACGGGUAGCCGGCCUGAGAGGGUGGACGGUCACACUGGGGCUGAGACACGGCCCAGACUCCUACGGGAGGCAGCAGUGGGGAAUAUUGCACAAUGGGCGCAAGCCUGAUGCAGCGACGCCGCGUGAGGGAUGGAGGCCUGCGGGUUGUGAACCUCUUUCGCCAGUGAAGCAGGCCUGCCUCGUUUGUGGGUGGGUUGACGGUAGCUGGAUAAGAAGCGCCGGCUAACUACGCG
Molecule: ribosomal RNA, 494 nt
Filed under: uncultured bacterium
Lineage: Bacteria
Description: partial 16S ribosomal RNA
Rfam family: Bacterial small subunit ribosomal RNA
Source: RNAcentral